Molecule: non-coding RNA, 139 nt
Organism: Gossypium raimondii (Peruvian cotton)
Lineage: Eukaryota; Viridiplantae; Streptophyta; Magnoliopsida; Malvales; Malvaceae
Source: Rfam
UGUUGAAAACUUCAUCUAUUUUCUAUUGUUAAAAAUUGAAGUGGCUGCUACAAUAACCAGACAGUAACAUGUACCUCAUGGUGAGUGGUGACAUACAAAAACUAAUUUUUAAUAUUAGAAAUGGAUAGAAUUUCUAACA